GUGGGAGUGGCGAAAUUGGUAAACGCACCAGAUUUAGGUUCUGGACCAUUUUAUGGAAUACGAGUUCAAAUCUCGUCUCCCACA
Molecule: transfer RNA, 84 nt
Filed under: Candidatus Purcelliella pentastirinorum
Lineage: Bacteria; Pseudomonadati; Pseudomonadota; Gammaproteobacteria; Enterobacterales; Enterobacteriaceae
Description: tRNA-Leu
Rfam family: tRNA
About the family: Transfer RNA (tRNA) molecules are approximately 80 nucleotides in length. Their secondary structure includes four short double-helical elements and three loops (D, anti-codon, and T loops).
Source: RNAcentral